GGCGGCGGCGGGUGGCGCGGGUGCGUCCGGCGCCUCGGGUGCGUCCGGCGCCUCGGGUGGCUCGGGUGCCUCCGCCGCUUC
This 81-nucleotide transfer RNA is filed under the name Actinomycetospora sp. NBRC 106375. Its description in RNAcentral is "tRNA-Pro". Lineage: Bacteria; Bacillati; Actinomycetota; Actinomycetes; Pseudonocardiales; Pseudonocardiaceae. The record is from RNAcentral.